AGAGCGGCGUACGGGUGCGGAACACGUGUGCAACCUGCCUUUAUCUGGGGGAUAGCCUUUCGAAAGGAAGAUUAAUACCCCAUAAUAUGUUGAAUGGCAUCAUUCGACAUUGAAAACUCCGGUGGAUAGAGAUGGGCACGCGCAAGAUUAGAUAGUUGGUGAGGUAACGGCUCACCAAGUCUACGAUCUUUAGGGGGCCUGAGAGGGUGAUCCCCCACACUGGUACUGAGACACGGACCAGACUCCUACGGGAGGCAGCAGUGAGGAAUAUUGGACAAUGGGUGAGAGCCUGAUCCAGCCAUCCCGCGUGAAGGACGACUGCCCUAUGGGUUGUAAACUUCUUUUGUAUAGGGAUAAACCUACCCUCGUGAGGGUAGCUGAAGGUACUAUACGAAUAAGCACCGGCUAACUCCGUGCCAGCAGCCGCGGUAAUACGGAGGGUGCAAGCGUUAUCCGGAUUUAUUGGGUUUAAAGGGUCCGUAGCGGAUCUGUAAGUCAGUGGUGAAAUCUCACAGCUUAACUGUGAAACUGCCAUUGAUACUGCAGGUCUUGAGUGUUGUUGAAGUAGCUGGAAUAAGUAGUGUAGCGGUGAAAUGCAUA
This 600-nucleotide ribosomal RNA is filed under the name uncultured bacterium. RNAcentral describes it as "bacterial SSU rRNA". It matches the Rfam family "Bacterial small subunit ribosomal RNA", at positions 92 to 692 of the family's 1533-position model. The record is from RNAcentral.